AAGUUAACCAGCUGAAGUUUUGAAGGGAGACUAGCGUUCAACAGUGGCAGUUCUGCUGUUCCAUGAUUGCUUUCUACUUUUUGGUCCCUGGAAAUGUAAAGUCUCAGGAGGCCAAGUUUUAAAUUAAAAAGGGGGGAACACACAAUUCUGAUGGACUGCCAACUGGUCCCAGGAAGGACCAGAAGAUGGAUCUCACACCAAAGAGGAAGGCUUCGUUUGGCACGGGGGGGUUAGCAAACUGCGGUGUGAACGCAAGGGGAGGUGAGUUUGGAAACCGGGGUCUGUUUCAGUGACAAGGCUGGGAUCAGGAUUCUCCAUGCUAUCUCAGUUUUGACCUAACCAAGCCCCAGCCCCUGCAUUUGAAGGAACUGAAGUUGUUCAGGUCAAUGGAAGGACACGGUUGGGGUUAUAUUCAGCCCCAGAGUUUACAGUCUCAUGGCACCAAAUAAAUGACCUUUAACAAAGUCUGUGGAGGAAACAUUUCUGGUAGAAGUGAAAACUGCCUGUGGUUAGCCUCAUGUUCAGCUUUAAAUCUGGGUCUUCACAGUGUUUCCCUUGCAGAUCUAAUAAAGUCACUUAUGCCAGGGAAAAAUUUCCAUAUGGGCCAUCAGUGAACCUCGCUAAUGAGUUGCACCGAUUUAUUUACAUUAGGAGGCAACAAGAAGACCCCUUUAAAUCCACCAUUUUAAAGAUAAUGAGCAUUUUGUUUCCCGCUUCGCUGCGUAUCUGGAGGUUGGUUCUCUUCGUCCCAGCUCCGAAGCGAAGGGCUUAAAAGAAAGAAACAAACAUUAUAAGGAUAAUCCGGGAAUCCUGUGACCACUUCCACUCCAGCAGUGACGUGAUCAGCCGUCCCCGAGGGGCGCGAGUAAGAAGGACGUCGAUACUGCGGUUCUGAAGAGUAGCCGGAAAAAUGCGGCCCUUGGACAUCGAAGAGGUGGAGGCACCCGAGGAGGUCGAGUUGCUGGAACCCGAGGAAGAUUUCGAGCAGUUCCUGCUGCCAGUCAUCAACGAGAUGCGGGAGGAUAUCGCGUCUCUCAUACGAGAGCACGGGAGAGCGUAUCUGAGGACCAGGAGCAAGCUGUGGGAGAUGGACAAUAUGCUCAUCCAGAUCAAGACCCAGGUGGAGGCGUCGGAGGAGAGCGCGUUGAAUCACGUUCAGAACCCAGGUGGAGACGCUGAUGAGAGAGUGUCGGAAUUGUGCGAGAAGGCCGAGGAAAAGGCCAAAGAGAUUGCGAAGAUGGCAGAGAUGCUGGUGGAGCUAGUCUGGCGAAUAGAGAAGAGCGAGUCGUCGUGAAGGGGGAGCGGCGGUAAGGCCGGCUACCCGCGGGAGCUGGACUCAGUCUCGGUUCACAAUUGAUGGACUCUGGUCAACGGGUAACAAUGGACUUGAAGAAACUGAAACAGCUUGUCAUUUUCGCUGUUUUGUUUUUGUAGGUUUUUUACCCACGUGUAACAGUCUCCCUUAUGGUCAGUGGUUGAUGACCUGCUAUGGGUUUAUAUUGUCAGAUGUAUUGGAUCUGUAAAAAUAACUUUUUUUGAGAAAUAUUCUCAAGAGGGAAAUGGGGCUUAAUCAAAAGUUGUUUCAGUCAUCACGUUUGUUGCUAUUUUGCUGUGUUUUCGAAGUGUUGGGCAUGGCCUUGUAUUUUUGCUGUUAACCUAUGUGACCUGGUUGCUUUCUGGAAGUUUGGAACAAAUGAAGACUUGGGAUCAGAAUCUUCCAACUCUAGAGGUGCAGUGGGAAGCACUUCUGGGUUGCAGCUGGCGAAGGAUGUGUAAAUGAGACUGCUUGGAUCAGACUGGGAAGAACUCCAACACAGUUGAGGAUGGAAGAUGGUUUUGUAAAUAUUUCAGAACUUUAAUUUCUCUGUGAGACGCAGGAGGAGAGCUGUGUUUUGUGGCUCAUCUCUCAUGUAUAUUGUGUAUCCUGUCAGGUGAGUUUAUUUAGACAAUAUAGCUGACUAUGUGACGAAGAAGUUGUGACGCCCUCACAUUAUUGGGGCUUCAGCGUAUAGCAUCAAAAAGACAAUCUACAAAGGUCCUGGAGAGGCUGGAGAAAGGAAAACGCAUCAUCGGGUAAUAGACUGAAUGGUGUUGAGGUCAAAAUCAAACAUGUAAUGUGUUCAUUUGCCUUGAUAAACAAAGUCUUACAGA
This is an RNA transcript of Choloepus didactylus (southern two-toed sloth), 2151 nucleotides long. It is a transcript of the gene named MORF4 family-associated protein 1, with no coding region annotated. NCBI's taxonomy places the organism in Eukaryota, Metazoa, Chordata, Mammalia, Pilosa, Megalonychidae. The transcript is spliced from 2 exons. The record is from RefSeq and is a predicted model, not a curated record.